AGAGUUUGAUCCUGGCUCAGGACGAACGCUGGCUGCGUGCUUAACACAUGCAAGUCGAACGCUGAAGCCCUGGUGCUUGCACCGGGGUGGAUGAGUGGCGAACGGGUGAGUAACACGUGAGUAACCUGCCCCCGACUUCGGGAUAAGCCCGGGAAACUGGGUCUAAUACCGGAUAUGACCAUGACUCGCAUGAGUGAUGGUGGAAAGUUUUUUCGGUUGGGGAUGGGCUCGCGGCCUAUCAGUUUGUUGGUGAGGUAAUGGCUCACCAAGACGACGACGGGUAGCCGGCCUGAGAGGGCGACCGGCCACACUGGGACUGAGACACGGCCCAGACUCCUACGGGAGGCAGCAGUGGGGAAUAUUGCACAAUGGGGGAAACCCUGAUGCAGCGACGCAGCGUGCGGGAUGACGGCCUCCGGGUUGUAAACCGCUUUCAGCAGGGAAGAAGCCUUUCGGGGUGACGGUACCUGCAGAAGAAGUACCGGCUAACUACGUGCCAGCAGCCGCGGUAAUACGUAGGGUACAAGCGUUGUCCGGAAUUAUUGGGCGUAAAGAGCUCGUAGGUGGUUGGUCACGUCUGCUGUGGAAACGCAACGCUUAACGUUGCGCGUGCAGUGGGUACGGGCUGACUAGAGUGCAGUAGGGGAGUCUGGAAUUCCUGGUGUAGCGGUGAAAUGCGCAGAUAUCAGGAGGAACACCGGUGGCGAAGGCGGGACUCUGGGCUGUAACUGACACUGAGGAGCGAAAGCAUGGGGAGCGAACAGGAUUAGAUACCCUGGUAGUCC
This 785-nucleotide ribosomal RNA is filed under the name uncultured bacterium. Its description in RNAcentral is "bacterial SSU rRNA". It matches the Rfam family "Bacterial small subunit ribosomal RNA", at positions 8 to 796 of the family's 1533-position model. The record is from RNAcentral.